RNAcentral lists this transfer RNA (84 nucleotides) under Bacillus inaquosorum. RNAcentral describes it as "tRNA-Tyr". It matches the Rfam family "tRNA". Rfam says of the family: Transfer RNA (tRNA) molecules are approximately 80 nucleotides in length. Lineage: Bacteria; Bacillati; Bacillota; Bacilli; Caryophanales; Bacillaceae. The record is from RNAcentral. RNAcentral also lists the same sequence under 1 other name.
GGGUUGAUAGCGAAGUGGUUAAACGCGACGGACUGUAAAUCCGUUCUGAAAGGUUCGAUGGUUCGAAUCCAUCUCAACCCACCA